RNAcentral lists this ribosomal RNA (275 nucleotides) under uncultured bacterium. RNAcentral's name for it is "partial 16S ribosomal RNA". It matches the Rfam family "Bacterial small subunit ribosomal RNA", at positions 399 to 691 of the family's 1533-position model. The record is from RNAcentral.
GCGUGAGUGAAGAAGGCCUUAGGGUUGUAAAACUCUUUCGCCGGUGAAGAUAAUGACGGUAACCGGAGAAGAAGCCCCGGCUAACUUCGUGCCAGCAGCCGCGGUAAUACGAAGGGGGCUAGCGUUGUUCGGAAUUACUGGGCGUAAAGCGCACGUAGGCGGAUCCGUAAGUUGGGGGUGAAAUCCCAGGGCUCAACCCUGGAACUGCCUUCAAGACUGCAGGUCUCGAGGUCAGGAGAGGCGAGUGGAAUUCCGAGUGUAGAGGUGAAAUUCGU